UGACGAGUGGCGGACGGGUGAGUAAUGUCUGGGAAACUGCCUGAUGGAGGGGGAUAACUACUGGAAACGGUAGCUAAUACCGCAUAACGUCGCAAGACCAAAGAGGGGGACCUUCGGGCCUCUUGCCAUCGGAUGUGCCCAGAUGGGAUUAGCUAGUAGGUGGGGUAACGGCUCACCUAGGCGACGAUCCCUAGCUGGUCUGAGAGGAUGACCAGCCACACUGGAACUGAGACACGGUCCAGACUCCUACGGGAGGCAGCAGUGGGGAAUAUUGCACAAUGGGCGCAAGCCUGAUGCAGCCAUGCCGCGUGUAUGAAGAAGGCCUUCGGGUUGUAAAGUACUUUCAGCGGGGAGGAAGGGAGUAAAGUUAAUACCUUUGCUCAUUGACGUUACCCGCAGAAGAAGCACCGGCUAACUCCGUGCCAGCAGCCGCGGUAAUACGGAGGGUGCAAGCGUUAAUCGGAAUUACUGGGCGUAAAGCGCACGCAGGCGGUUU
This 496-nucleotide ribosomal RNA is filed under the name Shigella flexneri. Its description in RNAcentral is "bacterial SSU rRNA". It matches the Rfam family "Bacterial small subunit ribosomal RNA", at positions 89 to 581 of the family's 1533-position model. The record is from RNAcentral. Lineage: Bacteria; Pseudomonadati; Pseudomonadota; Gammaproteobacteria; Enterobacterales; Enterobacteriaceae.